GGUGUGCCCCCAGGUGUGCCCAGGUGACCCCAGGUCUAUUUCAGGUGCCCCCAGGUGUAUCCCAGGUGCCUCCAGGUGUAUCCCAGGUGUGCCCAGGCACCUCCAGGUGUGUGCCAGGUACCCCCAGGCACCCCCAGGCACCCCCAGGUCUAUCCCAGGUGCCCCAGGUGUACCCCCAGCUGCCCCCAGGUGUGUCACAGGCACCCCCAGGUGUGCCCAGGUGUGCCCAGGUGUGUCACAGGCACCCCCAGGUGUGCCCAGGUGUGCCCAGGUGUGUCACAGACACCCCCAGGUGUGUGCCCAGGUGUGCCCAGGUGCGUCACAGACACCCCCAGGUGUGUGCCCAGGUGCCCCCAGGUGCGUCACAGGAAGUAGUCGGCCACGGGUUUCUUGGCGGGGAUGCCGCGCGUCUCCUGCGGCGCCGCCUCGAAGAUGAUGAACUCCUUCUGCAGGUGCUCGUCCAGCUC
Molecule: long non-coding RNA, 467 nt
Organism: Passer domesticus (house sparrow)
Lineage: Eukaryota; Metazoa; Chordata; Aves; Passeriformes; Passeridae
Exons: 4
Source: RefSeq, a predicted model, not a curated record